GGAGGCGGCCGUGCGGCGGUGCCCGCAGCCCGAGGAGCAAAGCGCGGCGAAUGAAGAGCGGCCGCUGGCCCUGUCGGGGCAGUCCUACUGGCUGGACCUGUGGCUCUUCGUCCUCUUCGACGUGGCGCUCUUCGUAUUUAUCUACCUGCUGCCCUGAUGGGCCGGGCCCAGAGCUCGUGGAUCAGGAAUCACUGGACGCACCUUCGGAACACAAGCAGGACCAUUUGGAGGAGAAGCACUUGCACAGCACAGACAGCAGUGGAUAACGAGACUUCCAUUGAUGGAAAGGCAGGAAGCUCCUGAGCUGGAGAGACGGGUACAUGCUGUAUUGCUGUACAGCCCACAAUAUAUUGCAAGUAUGGUCUUCAGGAUCGUGCCUGUAUCUUGCCUUUCCAUGUUCUAAAUUGUGCCUUUCAGGACAGGAGACAGCUUGACUGUGCUUUUGUAAUUUGCUUGAAGAAUAUAAAUGCAAAUAGGCACUGUUUGAAUAAAAUCCAGCAGAGACUGAAA
Long non-coding RNA from Tympanuchus pallidicinctus (lesser prairie-chicken), 510 nucleotides. RefSeq lists it as uncharacterized. The record is from RefSeq and is a predicted model, not a curated record. Lineage: Eukaryota; Metazoa; Chordata; Aves; Galliformes; Phasianidae. The transcript has 2 exons.